This 1134-nucleotide long non-coding RNA is filed under the name Monodelphis domestica (gray short-tailed opossum). RNAcentral describes it as "lncRNA (ENSMODG00000033085.2)". The record is from RNAcentral. Lineage: Eukaryota; Metazoa; Chordata; Mammalia; Didelphimorphia; Didelphidae.
AGAGAACAGACUAAGCAGCUUCCUUAGGGCUAUCCUGCUAGUUAAAUGGUCAAAGGUGGGAUUUGAAUCCAGAUCCCCUGACUCCACGUCAAGCACUUUCCCACUAUACCAUACCGCCUUUUAAAAGAAGCUAUAGAACCCCAUUGUCAUUUACUAACCAGUCUUCGGUACUCUCUGAGGACAUCACUAGCUUUGGAUCAAUAGAAAGAGGCAGUCAGUGGAGAGUCCCACCAUCAUUCCAAAGGCAGCUUCUCCAGCAUAGCUAAUGUAAUGAACUAUACCUACCAUUUGCAUCAGAUUUCAGUUAAUAAUAACUAACAUGUAUAUAAUAUUUAGUAUGUGUCAGGCACUUUGUAAUUUUUAUCCCUUGUGAUCCUCACAGUUGCUAUUAUUAUGCUCAUUUUACAAUAAACUGAUGCAAACAGAGGUCAAGUGACUUGCCCUGGGUUACACAGUUAGGAAGUAUUUGCAGCCUCAUUUGAACUCAAGUCUCCCCAGCAUUCUUCCCCCUGCAUCACCUCAUGGUUCUUUACCUAUAAUUUAAAAAAAAAUGACUGAUCUAGUAGAUAUUGAUACUAGGGGAAUGAUGGUAAUGGAGAAAUAUCAGAGAUGUAACACCAGGAAGUAAGCUAGGGAAAAGACUGACUCUUGAGCCCCUCCCCCUACACUACUUCCUGUUUCCUUUCAACAGUCUUAGAAAUAUGCUCCUCACUGAUGAUGCUUUUGUCGCUUCUAAAAAUCUUCAUUUACAUUCAACAACAUGAAAAGUGUUUUAAGGAAAGUGAAUUAUUCAACUCUGAAUCAGAACCUAGCUCGGGGUUCAGAGGUUCACAAACAUGCCAAAGAAAGGAGCUACACCAACUGGAUCCAAGCCAGGGAGGAAGCAGAGGCUGGUGGAGAAGUCCUCUACCCAGACAAUACAAUUAAAAUCACUGUAUGUGAGAUGAAGGAGCGCAAUUUCAAACCAGUGUGACUGUUAUAAAAAGAGGCACACAGUGUGAAGACAGGACACCAAAAGAAGGCUAUGGGACAAAGGCAUUUCCAUGGUUUACUUAGAAAGACUGACUUGGGGAUCCACAACUGAAAUGCCAUGUCUGGCCCCAAAAUGGAAAAUAAUUUUGAGUUACUGAAUAG